This 839-nucleotide small RNA is filed under the name Pongo abelii (Sumatran orangutan). Its description in RNAcentral is "retained intron". The record is from RNAcentral. Lineage: Eukaryota; Metazoa; Chordata; Mammalia; Primates; Hominidae.
AGCCAUGGUUAAUUACUUUAGAUGCUACUCAACCAGUCAUACCGGCUACUAGAGACUUAUUUAUUACACUGUCCAGAAUACUCUUCGGUUCCUUUGAGGGGGAAAGAAGGAAGCUGACUUGUUUGUGUUCACAUUCUCACUAGCUAGAACUGUGUGUAGCACAAAGUAGAUAAUUAUUUGAUUUGUGUUGAUGACUUUUCUCCUCUAAAGUUAUGUAAAGUUGAGGAUAUUUUACCCUAGAGCAAAUUGGUUCUGUUUUAUUCAUAGUUGAUUCAAAGGUGAUUGUCAUAUUUUGUUGUUUUGUUUUAUGUUUAGAUCGCUUUCACAACAAAGAUUUACCAUCCAAACAUAAACAGUAAUGGAAGUAUUUGUCUCGAUAUUCUGAGGUCACAAUGGUCACCAGCUCUGACUGUAUCAAAAGUUUUAUUGUCCAUAUGUUCUCUACUUUGUGAUCCUAAUCCAGAUGACCCCUUAGUACCAGAUAUUGCACAAAUCUAUAAAUCAGACAAAGAAAAAUACAACAGACAUGCAAGAGAAUGGACUCAGAAAUAUGCAAUGUAAAAAUCAAAAACAUUUUCAUAUAUACCAGAGUACUGUAAAAUCUAGGUUUUUUUCAACAUUAGCAGUAAAUUGAGCACUGUUUACUGUUUCAUUGUACCAUGAAACCAUUUGAUUUUUACCCAUUUUAAAUGUGUUUCUGAAGCAAGACAAAACAAACUUCCAAAAAUACCCUUAAGACUGUGAUGAGAGCAUUUAUCAUUUUGUAUGCAUUGAGAAAGACAUUUAUUAUGGUUUUUAAGAUACUUGGACAUCUGCAUCUUCAGCUUACAAGAUCUACA